GGGUUAGUAGGUUGGUCAUGCCUCUGGUAUGUACUGGUCUCACUGAUUCCUCCUUCCUGAUGAACCGUAAUGCCAUUAAUUUGGUGUUGCGGGGAAUUUGGACUGUUACUUUGAAAAAAUUAGAGUGUUUAAAGCAGGCAUUUUGCUUGAAUACAUUAGCAUGGAAUAAUAAAAUAGGACGGCAUGAUUCUAUUUUGUUGGUUUCUAGGAUCACCGU
RNAcentral lists this ribosomal RNA (217 nucleotides) under uncultured Glomus. Its description in RNAcentral is "partial 18S ribosomal RNA". The stretch from base 40 to 217 matches the Rfam family "Eukaryotic small subunit ribosomal RNA", at positions 686 to 863 of the family's 1831-position model. Lineage: Eukaryota; Fungi; Glomeromycota; Glomeromycetes; Glomerales; Glomeraceae. The record is from RNAcentral.